Molecule: small RNA, 28 nt
Filed under: Bombyx mori (domestic silkworm)
Lineage: Eukaryota; Metazoa; Arthropoda; Insecta; Lepidoptera; Bombycidae
Description: ovarian small RNA-27543
Source: RNAcentral
UCCGCUGUGAGUGUGACGGCGCAAAUGC